UUAAAUUGAAGAGUUUGAUCAUGGCUCAGAUUGAACGCUGGCGGCAGGCCUAACACAUGCAAGUCGAACGGUAACAGGAAGCAGCUUGCUGCUUCGCUGACGAGUGGCGGACGGGUGAGUAAUGUCUGGGAAACUGCCUGAUGGAGGGGGAUAACUACUGGAAACGGUAGCUAAUACCGCAUAAUGUCGCAAGACCAAAGAGGGGGACCUUCGGGCCUCUUGCCAUCGGAUGUGCCCAGAUGGGAUUAGCUUGUUGGUGGGGUAACGGCUCACCAAGGCGACGAUCCCUAGCUGGUCUGAGAGGAUGACCAGCCACACUGGAACUGAGACACGGUCCAGACUCCUACGGGAGGCAGCAGUGGGGAAUAUUGCACAAUGGGCGCAAGCCUGAUGCAGCCAUGCCGCGUGUAUGAAGAAGGCCUUCGGGUUG
Molecule: ribosomal RNA, 430 nt
Filed under: Escherichia coli
Lineage: Bacteria; Pseudomonadati; Pseudomonadota; Gammaproteobacteria; Enterobacterales; Enterobacteriaceae
Description: bacterial SSU rRNA
Rfam family: Bacterial small subunit ribosomal RNA
Source: RNAcentral